GACCAAGAGUGUCCAGGACAUGGGGAA
RNAcentral lists this non-coding RNA (27 nucleotides) under Homo sapiens (human). The record is from RNAcentral. Lineage: Eukaryota; Metazoa; Chordata; Mammalia; Primates; Hominidae.